CAAUCCUUCGAUCACACAACAUUCCAGAUAGGCCAUGGGCAUGAAAACAUAUUAAACCCAAAUAUCUAUCCAUAUGUAUCUCGAUCUGAUGCUAAUGACUCGGUUGAUGAAUCAAUAAAAAUUAUUUUUACUGUUCAUUCCUGCUCUGAUCAGAGACUCUCAGAGUCAUCAUCCUAUGAGAUCAUAUAAGAUGUUCUCUCCUCCUACAAAGAGUCAUCGAUUCUUUGUUGACCACUCCCAACCUCCAUGCACACUUCAUCAUAUCCAGAAUAUUCCACACACAUCUCAAAGUAGCAAGCUAGAAAAUAAACCAAAGUA
Molecule: long non-coding RNA, 318 nt
Filed under: Elaeis guineensis (African oil palm)
Lineage: Eukaryota; Viridiplantae; Streptophyta; Magnoliopsida; Arecales; Arecaceae
Description: long non-coding RNA (EGUI_LNC043625)
Source: RNAcentral